AGAGCGAACGCUGGCGGCAGGCUUAACACAUGCAAGUCGAGCGGGCGUAGCAAUACGUCAGCGGCAGACGGGUGAGUAACGCGUGGGAACAUGCCUUUUGGUUCGGAACAACACAGGGAAACUUGUGCUAAUACCGGAUAAGCCCUUACGGGGAAAGAUUUAUCGCCGAAAGAUUGGCCCGCGUCUGAUUAGCUAGUUGGUGAGGUAACGGCUCACCAAGGCGACGAUCAGUAGCUGGUCUGAGAGGAUGAUCAGCCACAUUGGGACUGAGACACGGCCCAAACUCCUACGGGAGGCAGCAGUGGGAAUAUUGGACAAUGGGCGCAAGCCUGAUCCAGCCAUGCCGCGUGAGUGAUGAAGGCCCUAGGGUUGUAAAGCUCUUUGUGCGGGAAGAUAAUGACGGUACCGCAAGAAUAAGCCCGGCUAACUUCGACGCCAGCAGCCGC
This 446-nucleotide ribosomal RNA is filed under the name uncultured bacterium. RNAcentral describes it as "SSU rRNA". It matches the Rfam family "Bacterial small subunit ribosomal RNA", at positions 26 to 518 of the family's 1533-position model. The record is from RNAcentral.